RNAcentral lists this long non-coding RNA (603 nucleotides) under Acromyrmex echinatior (Panamanian leafcutter ant). RNAcentral's name for it is "uncharacterized LOC105153004, transcript variant X2". Lineage: Eukaryota; Metazoa; Arthropoda; Insecta; Hymenoptera; Formicidae. The record is from RNAcentral.
GUAGGAACAUUGAAUCAAUAUUGAUGUUUGAAAGACAAAGCCGGAAGUUGAAAUAAUUAGAAGCAAUAAUUUAUGCGACAUUGUGUUCUUGGAAACUCUAUGGAUUUUACGGUGGAUCUACAGGCUUAAUGUUGACCUUACUCGUCACAAAGCAACCGGAGCAGCGUUCGCGUGCACUUAUUGUACUUUCGUGGCUAUAAUUCAACGUUUGUGAGCCUGCAUUGAAACACGCGGCGGUCAUGUGUCCUACGAAGGCUGACUAAUUCCCGGAAUUGGUGCAAGACUUGCCGGCAAUGCGCGUAAAGUUCUUUCUUUCGCGUGUCCUUACAUACUAAUUCAUCGAUCUGCAUCGAACUUUACACGGCUUUCAGUCUACCGGAAAUUUCUUGUUAACGCUUCGCUGACCGCAGAACGACAAAUGCUCGCCCUUAUCAGUUUUAUCUCGUGAAAAGGUGUAAUAUUACGUCAAUGGUUCCCAGCUACGAAGAACAAAAAGAUGCUCUACUACGUCAACGAUCGCAAAAAAGAUUUCACCGGGAUGGAGAAAAUCGGGCGCGCCAGCUCUCGUCGAGAUUAACUGUUGUAGAACGUCGAGUUAUCGAU